GAUCAUGGCUCAGGAUGAACGCUAGCUACAGGCUUAACACAUGCAAGUCGAGGGGAAACGACAUCGAAAGCUUGCUUUUGAUGGGCGUCGACCGGCGCACGGGUGAGUAACGCGUAUCCAACCUGCCUACCACUUGGGGAUAACCUUGCGAAAGUAAGACUAAUACCCAAUGACAUCCCACGAAGACAUCUGAAUGGGAUUAAAGAUUCAUCGCUGAUAGAUAGGCAUGCGUU
This 233-nucleotide ribosomal RNA is filed under the name uncultured bacterium. RNAcentral describes it as "partial 16S ribosomal RNA". It matches the Rfam family "Bacterial small subunit ribosomal RNA", at positions 15 to 237 of the family's 1533-position model. The record is from RNAcentral.